This 420-nucleotide ribosomal RNA is filed under the name bacterium enrichment culture. RNAcentral describes it as "bacterial SSU rRNA". It matches the Rfam family "Bacterial small subunit ribosomal RNA", at positions 975 to 1392 of the family's 1533-position model. The record is from RNAcentral.
CAGCUUUUGACAUGUCCGGUUUGAUCGACAGAGAUGUCUUUCUUCAGUUCGGCUGGCCGGAACACAGGUGCUGCAUGGCUGUCGUCAGCUCGUGUCGUGAGAUGUUGGGUUAAGUCCCGCAACGAGCGCAACCCUCGCCCCUAGUUGCCAUCAUUCAGUUGGGAACUCUAGGGGGACUGCCGGUGAUAAGCCGCGAGGAAGGUGGGGAUGACGUCAAGUCCUCAUGGCCCUUACAGGCUGGGCUACACACGUGCUACAAUGGCGGUGACAAUGGGCAGCGAAAGGGCGACCUCGAGCUAAUCCCAAAAAGCCGUCUCAGUUCAGAUUGUACUCUGCAACUCGAGUACAUGAAGGUGGAAUCGCUAGUAAUCGUGGAUCAGCAUGCCACGGUGAAUACGUUCCCGGGUCUUGUACACACCG